GACGAACCGAGCGAACGUUGUUCGGAAUCACUGGGCUUAAAGGGUGCGUAGGCGGGUCUUUAAGUCAGGGGUGAAAUCCUGGAGCUCAACUCCAGAACUGCCUUUGAUACUGAAGAUCUUGAGUUCGGAAGAGGAGAGUGGAAUUCCUGGUGUAGCGGUGAAAUGCGCAGAUAUCAGGAAGAACACCAAUGGCGAAGGCAGCUCUCUGGGACGGUACUGACGCUGAGACGCGAAAGCGUGGGGAGCGAACAGG
Molecule: ribosomal RNA, 253 nt
Filed under: uncultured bacterium
Lineage: Bacteria
Description: partial 16S ribosomal RNA
Rfam family: Bacterial small subunit ribosomal RNA
Source: RNAcentral